Molecule: long non-coding RNA, 1676 nt
Organism: Syzygium oleosum
Lineage: Eukaryota; Viridiplantae; Streptophyta; Magnoliopsida; Myrtales; Myrtaceae
Exons: 2
Source: RefSeq, a predicted model, not a curated record
UCUCUCCCUUUGAUUUCUUCUUCCUCCUCUGCUUGAUGGAUCUUACCUCCAGCAAGGGCGGCAACAUCCUCAGUUCCUCCAGCGACUAAUGGCAACUGGGCCUCUGUCCUCUCCGCCAUCGACCCCUCGAGUGCUCCCCCCCGUCGUCUGCGCCAUCCUCUUCGUCCCCGCCAUCACCAACGCUGCCGUCUCCUCUACAACGUCACAGCCCUCAACGCCUCGUCCUCUCGCAACUCAAGCUCUUGAGCACAGGCCCGCCUCGCCUGUCGACCCUCCUCCUGCCCACAACUCUACCCCUCGAAUGCUCCCCGUCCUCGUGCCCCACCUCUUCUCCUUCCGACGCCAUCGCCGUGCACACCAUCGCCCGGAUCCUCGAUUACUCGGUCUCGGCUUUGAGGAAAUUACUGGCCAAGCGCUCCUUUUCUCCAUUAAUUUUUGCUGUUCUUUUUCCGAGUUCUUGUCGAGCUAUUCAAGCCAGGGGAAAUACAUAUGAUUUUUCUUUCUUUCUUUCUGUAAAUUCUGAGAUCAUACAAAAGUCUAUUAGAAUACGAUUUUUCGAGUUGGGAGAUCAACAAGGAAAGAAGCUGUGUUUUUUUUUUUUUUUUUUCUGAGUUCGACUUCAGGCCCGCAACUCAUUCGGCACAUUGAUAAGGUAAAGUAAGUGGCAUUUGGAGAAAGUGCAUUAAACUCGCAUUUUCAUAGGACUUCAUGGUUCCACAAUGACCCAAAUGAAAAACAGAACUAAGAAAACUCACCACUACUUAGGCACGUAAAAUGAAAAACCCAGUGCCUCAAGCACACAGUACGUACUGCUGACCCACAAUUUACACAACACAUGAAGAACCAAAGUUCUCUCUCUCUCUCUCCCCUCUGUGAUUAGCCUUCUGAUGAUGUCUUGAGGGCAUUAUUCGUAAUUACAAGGUGGAAGAGCUCGUGAAGGAACCAAGAGCCUUGAAAGCUGCAGCUCUCAGGAUGAACUGGUAAUAGAAGGCUGCAAUGGCCGCUCCAACGAAUGGCCCCACCCAGAAUAUCCACUGCACAAUUCAAUAUGGAAAAACAAAAGAGAACACGAUGUGAAUCCUCUAUGGUCCGGUUAACUUUACUAGAUGAAGUGUACUAGAGCUAGGGAAGGAGUUCGAAUUCGUUACUUGGUCAUCCCACGCCUUCUCCUUGUCGUACAUCACCGCAGCUCCGAAGCUCCGGGCCGGGUUGAUGCCCGUGCCGGUGAUCGGGAUCGUGGCGAGGUGGACCAUGAACACCGCGAAUCCGAUGGGCAGCGGCGCCAACACCUUUCAUGCACGAUGCGCACGGUUUCAAAAUCAAAUUCCAAAGAAACAGAAAGGGGGGAGAGGCAAAAUGGGUAGGGGUUGUUAGCUUACGGGGACGUGGGAGUCCCGAGCUUUCCUCUUGGGGUCGGUGGCGGAGAAGACGGUGUAGACGAGGACGAAGGUGCCGAUGAUCUCGGCGCCCAGCCCGGUGCCCUUGCUGUAGCCGUCCGCGAGCAUGUUGGCCCCGCCCUCGUACCGCUCGUAGUAGGCCCUCUGGAAGGCCUUCACGAGGCCGCACCCGCACACCGCGCCGAGGCACUGGGCCACCAUGUAGAGGAUGGCCCGCACCAGCGACACCUUCCUCGCCAGGAACAGCCCGAACGUCACCGCCGGGUUUAUGUGCCCCCC